UCCGAAGAGUGGGAACAAUCUCUCUUCCUUUCAGUGUCAUCUUUAAAGUGAUUCAACUGUCAGUGAAGAGCUGUUGAAGAUCCAGCCAAACGAAUAGUCGGUGUGUUGAACAGAAAAGAGAGACAAUACGGGUAUCUGAUGCAGUGGGCGGUGUUAGCCUGUGAUGCCUGAAGGUGACUGAAAGUUGUUUCUUAGACAUGGAAGAGACCC
RNAcentral lists this long non-coding RNA (210 nucleotides) under Apteryx owenii (little spotted kiwi). RNAcentral describes it as "lncRNA (ENSAOWG00000018312.1)". The record is from RNAcentral. Lineage: Eukaryota; Metazoa; Chordata; Aves; Apterygiformes; Apterygidae.